AUGCGUUUUGAUGGUGACGUGGUUUCCUCUCGGUUCAUGCGAUUAAUACAGCAGUAUAAUUCCAUGUUCUGUUUUACAUCAUUGGGUGCACAAGUUGAUCAUAGUAUUAAUGUUGGAGGUGCUCCAUAUGUUUUCAAGAUGAAUGGGAUGGUCUACCAUCGUAUUGGUUCGUUGCUGCCGGCUGAGGGUGCACCUCCCAAGUUCGCGCAAUUGUACAUGGUCGAUUCUGCUGGCGAGUUGGACUGUAGGUUGAAUGUGUUUGACAGAGAAGAAACUGCUUCGCUUGAGCCCGAUCCUGAGAUUGUUUCUUCAUUGAUAAACAUGCUUAAUGUGCACCACCGUUUGGUGCACAAAUUUAGAAUUGCACGACGGAGUUUGUGUACUCCUGGUGUUUCUGCUAUGUCGAUUCGUUUCUUGGGCAGCGAUGGCGGUGCCCAUGGUACACGUUUUUCCGGCCCUACUGCUUCUGAAGUGGCUGCACUUAUUGUUGGCGAUCUCACUCCUGAAUGUAGAAGAUAUGUUGAUGUUGGUGGUUCUUCGGCUACAGCUUAUGCAGAUGUGCAGUCCGAAGGGUGUAUGGACGGUGAAGAUUUCGAUGAUGAUGUGGACUAUAAUCCAAGGAUGCAGACGCUUCUCAUGGGCAAGUUACCAUGUUGGAGUACUAUAAGUACUAUACUCACUAACGUGAAGGCGAGGUGA
This 699-nucleotide ribosomal RNA is filed under the name Triticum aestivum (bread wheat). RNAcentral describes it as "partial small subunit ribosomal RNA". The record is from RNAcentral. Lineage: Eukaryota; Viridiplantae; Streptophyta; Magnoliopsida; Poales; Poaceae.